AGAGUUUGAUCAUGGCUCAGAACGAACGCUGGCGGCGUGGAUAAGACAUGCAAGUCGAACGGGGUUAUAAUUGUAGUAAUACAAUUAUAGCUUAGUGGCGAACGGGUGCGUAACACGUGAGUAAUCUGCCGGGAAGUGUGGGAUAGCUCGCCGAAAGGCGAAUUAAUACCGCAUGUGGCUAGGGGUGACAUCACUCCGAAGCCAAAGUCGCAAGACGCUUCCUGAUGAGCUCGCGGCCUAUCAGCUAGUUGGUGAGGUAACGGCUCACCAAGGCAAUGACGGGUAGCUGGUCUGAGAGGACGACCAGCCACACUGGAACUGAGACACGGUCCAGACACCUACGGGUGGCAGCAGUCGAGAAUUUUUCACAAUGGGGGAAACCCUGAUGGAGCGACGCCGCGUGGAGGACGAAGGUCUUCGGAUUGUAAACUCCUGUCAUGCGGGAACAAGAAAGUGAUAGUGCUGC
Molecule: ribosomal RNA, 466 nt
Filed under: uncultured bacterium
Lineage: Bacteria
Description: bacterial SSU rRNA
Rfam family: Bacterial small subunit ribosomal RNA
Source: RNAcentral